GAGAAAGAUUGCUUCAGAGGACUUUAAGGAACAUUGGUGGACAUUCUAGAACUUGAAGAUUGCAAUUUGUUGAGCCAUGACUCCCAACUUAAUGUAAAACAGAGCAACUUCAAAGAG
Non-coding RNA from Arachis ipaensis, 117 nucleotides. Lineage: Eukaryota; Viridiplantae; Streptophyta; Magnoliopsida; Fabales; Fabaceae. The record is from RefSeq and is a predicted model, not a curated record.